This 468-nucleotide ribosomal RNA is filed under the name uncultured bacterium. Its description in RNAcentral is "partial 16S ribosomal RNA". It matches the Rfam family "Bacterial small subunit ribosomal RNA", at positions 28 to 507 of the family's 1533-position model. The record is from RNAcentral.
GACGAACGCUGGCGGCGUGCUUAACACAUGCAAGUCGAACGGAAAGGCCCUGCUUUUGUGGGGUGCUCGAGUGGCGAACGGGUGAGUAACACGUGAGUAACCUGCCCUUGACUUUGGGAUAACUUCAGGAAACUGGGGCUAAUACCGGAUAGGAGCUCCUGCUGCAUGGUGGGGGUUGGAAAGUUUCGGCGGUUGGGGAUGGACUCGCGGCUUAUCAGCUUGUUGGUGGGGUAGUGGCUUACCAAGGCUUUGACGGGUAGCCGGCCUGAGAGGGUGACCGGCCACAUUGGGACUGAGAUACGGCCCAGACUCCUACGGGAGGCAGCAGUGGGGAAUAUUGCACAAUGGGCGGAAGCCUGAUGCAGCAACGCCGUGUGCGGGAUGACGGCCUUCGGGUUGUAAACCGCUUUCGCCUGUGGCGAAGCGUGAGUGACGGUAAUGGGUAAAGAAGCACCGGCUAACUACGUG